GGCGAACGCUGGCGGCGUGCUUAACACAUGCAAGUCGAACGGAAAGGCCCUGCUUUUGGGGGGUGCUCGAGUGGCGAACGGGUGAGUAACACGUGAGUAACCUGCCCUGGACUUUGGGAUAACUUCAGGAAACUGGGGCUAAUACCGGAUAGGAGCUCCUGCUGCAUGGUGGGGGUUGGAAAGUUUCGGCGGUUGGGGAUGGACUCGCGGCUUAUCAGCUUGUGGGUGGGGUAGUGGCCUACCAAGGCUUUGACGGGUAGCCGGCCUGAGAGGGUGACCGGACACAUUGGGACUGAGAUACGGCCCAGACUCCUACGGGAGGCAGCAGUGGGGAAUAUUGCACAAUGGGCGGAAGCCUGAUGCAGCAACGCCGCGUGCGGGAUGACGGCCUUCGGGUUGUAAACCGCUUUCGCCUGUGACGAAGCGUGAGUGACGGUAAUGGGUAAAGAAGCACCGGCUAACUACGUG
This 468-nucleotide ribosomal RNA is filed under the name uncultured bacterium. RNAcentral's name for it is "partial 16S ribosomal RNA". It matches the Rfam family "Bacterial small subunit ribosomal RNA", at positions 28 to 507 of the family's 1533-position model. The record is from RNAcentral.